Athalia rosae (coleseed sawfly) is the source of this 1737-nucleotide long non-coding RNA. RefSeq lists it as uncharacterized. The record is from RefSeq and is a predicted model, not a curated record. The transcript is spliced from 2 exons. NCBI's taxonomy places the organism in Eukaryota, Metazoa, Arthropoda, Insecta, Hymenoptera, Athaliidae.
CUCAACCCGCAUCGUAGACGAAGAUAUUAUACUUCCCCCACUCAAAGUCUUAUAUUGUUGAUGAAAUAAUUAUACGAAAAUAGAACAUAUUCACGUUGUACGAUGUUACAAAAUUGUUGCAUCCUUUACUCGGUGCUGGAAUAUAAAGAUUUUCCGAAUCCUUGAAUGGCAGUCUUCAAAUAUUCUGACUCUGCGUACUCAUGGGGAUGAAAUAUUUCUCCGACGUUUUAACUUGUGAAAACUUAAAUAUUUUCCACCCCGAAAAUACAACGAGGCACGAUGGGGUUUAGUGCUGACCCGAUGUCAUUAUUAUUGGGUCAAUUUUUUUUCUAAUCAUUUGCCAUGCCAAAAAUAGAAAUAUGGAAUCAUCAUGACCACGUUAACCGGCGGAUGUGCUAAAAAAAAAACGUCUUAAUCAACUUGUAAGAUAAUGGACACCUAUACCACGACGUAUAGCGCAUACACAAGCUUCUAACGGAGUCGUGGAAAACCCGUGCGGUUUUUCUGUUUAUUCCAACGUAAGACGCCAUUUUUUUGUCGCUUUCAUUAUAGAUGAUACCUCCUCGGGUCCAGGAUAUCAGAGGAUAUCAACGGAACACCGCAAUGUGGCCGUCGUACAAUCUACCACCAUAUGUAUACGCCUUACUUCGUCGUGAAAUUUUUCUGAUCGGUUUACAAAUUUUUUUAGCCAUCUUUAAUGCUGUGGGGACAAUCGGGGGUGCUAGCGAGGAACGUAAUUGAAAAUUUCAAUUGAAAACCCCAUUUCAUGGAUGAUUUUGGAAUAAAUUUAAAGACUUGCUUCGUAACGGCCGAUAAUUUAUUGACAAUAUCAAUGGAACGUUUCUGAAAACUAGUACAAUUGACAGGACUGCUUAUUCGUAUAAUAUUUAUGACAUGCAAUUAUUUCGUUUUUAUUCAGUACAGUAACUCACACUCGAAAUACUCGAGAUUAAUGCAAUUGACAUCGUUCGCGCCAUUUGGUGAUAUUAACCGUUUUCCUCGUGGAUCUCAAGACUAGUUUUUUCUUCCAGUUAAUAUUUUCGAGAAUACUACAUGUAUUUUACAGAGAAAAAACUGUUAUGACGUUUCCAACGGCUACGCAAUGGCUAAUAAUAUGGUUGAUGGUAAGGAACCCUGAGCGUGCGAGUCUUGCACCGGAUCAUUUGCAUUUAUUUUGUGUUUAGCCUGCAACAUUCAACGAUAAUGGUACUUGAUUCAUUGCAAUGAUUAUUGAUGGUAAAAAAGUUCAGGCUUCGUAUCGAUCUACAUGUUCAUAACGUUGCAUUACAACCAUAAUCCACCAAAUUAGUGCGUUUUAUGUGAUGUCAUUACGCACACAUGUAUUGCAUUAUAUCUUAUCCUUGGUAGGUUUCGAUCGAGAUCAGCAAUCGUUGGUUUGUAUAACUCAAAAAUAAUAGGCGUGUGUGUAGUAGCGCAAGCAAGUUUUCAUGCAUCCCCAUUAAAUGACGAUUUUGAACGUAUCUCAUAUCGCCCGAAAAAUACCAAAAAUGCGUCGACGGAACUUGGCCAAUUAUCAUAACUAAUUAUCGUGCGAUUAUCGUAACUAAAUUUACAACGGCAUCCUACAAGAGGGUCAAUAAUUUAAGGAGGGUACAGUCAUCCCCAUAAGCCUGCGUAAAAAUUUGCCACGCACAUGACCACCUCAGCUCCGCUUUGGUAUUCUUCAGGCAACGGUGAUUACAUUGAAGUUUUUUUUUUUUCUUUUUUUUUUUUUAA